GGGUGGAUGGGAGUGAUACACGAAAUAUGUAAGAGACGAACAGAAUUAGUUGAGAUUUUACAGCAGUUCAUUGGGUGCAAAAAAAAAAAAAAAGAAAACGUCACAGAUUGACUUAAAGCCUUUUUAUCUGAAUCUUUUAAUGCACUCUCCUUUCUUGGUUUAUUUAUAUGAUCUUUAUUCUAGUACAGCAAAUACUUCCCACUUCCAAAUGUUCAAAAAGGUUCUGCACACUUAGAAAUAAUUUAUGAUCAAAACCUUUUCGUAUUUAAUAGCAGGUGUCACCCAUGUAAAGUGCCCUGCAGUUUGAGUGACAAGGCAUGCACAAUGCACACAGACCCAUACAAGCUUCUGUGCACUGCAGAUGUGUCACUGCACACUGAGAUUAAUAGUAGCAUGUGAGGAAAAGGGCCAUGUAGCGGCGGGACGCACUGAGACAGAAAGUGAUGCAGUGUUGCAACUUUUCCAUCUGCAUUUCUACAUUUCUUCCCUGCAAAGCUCAGAGUUAGAAACUUGAGUUUUCAUGCUCAUACUGCUCCUCCAGCUCUGCACCGAGCAAGUCGCUUUAAUGUCGUUUUGGUUCAGCCAGUUAAGUUGGUACCAACUUUGCCUCAAGCCCCUAAAGCACAAACUUCUUCAAACGUUAGCUCUCUACUGGCCAGACUCCUUGGUCUUCAAGGGAAAAAUGAAAAAAGAAAAAAAAAACAUCUUUUUUUUUUUCUAAUCAGGGUUCCCCAGAGGAUAAAAGAUGAGACGAUGCAUAAGUCAAGGAGAAGAAGGGUAAUGGAAUGAUGGGUCACACAAAUGCUUCUAAAGCCAGCCAAAGUCUGGGGAGGGUGAAAAUGAGUCAACAUAGAGCAGACAAUUGGGAAUCAGAAGACAAAGAGAUCUCACAUGACAGGAGCUGGGAGAGCAGAAGCAGAAGAAUCCAACUGAGACACAAAGAGAGUCGAUCAGGGAGAGAACGAGCAGAGAGACAGUCUGGCAGGGGCCUCUGGAUGACUACGGCUCUUUAAUGCACUCAUAAAUCCAUUACUUAAGGCAAAGUAGAGGGUAAGUGGAUUUGUACUCUGGCCCUGCGAUUACUCUGCCAUCAAUAAAGGAUGGGCAGGGAAUACAGACGAGGUUCCACCUCCACCACUCAGCUCUGCAGCUGUUUAGCAAUCAGUUGGAAAACAAGAAUGACACGCUGCUGGAAAUAUGUCAACGGAAACUGGGCUCGGGUAAGACAGACGAGCGCUUGAAAACAUAUGCACAGUUAGGACCUGCUGUGCACAUCACAGCACAAAAAUGUGACAAAUGACAAGGUGACAGGGCCCUACUGGUGACUUGUCCAGGAUCUACCCUACCACAAUGAGGAUGCACAGAAAGUGGUCUGCUAAAAGCAGGCAUGCAGAAAAAUAACUGCAUCACGGCUCUCUACCAAAGUCAAUCUCCAGAAUAACAGGAUGGAUUAUUUACCGUUGCAAGUGCAAACACAGCACGUCCAAGAGCCGCAUCUCUAAAUCCAGCCGGCAGCCAAUAUCCUACUGUCUCUGAAAUGAAAUUGGGGGAUCUACUGCUUACGAUGUUUGUCCUGGAUCUGUGGGGUAUCCCUGAACUUAACCCCAAGCAGUAACGGAUGUGAUGGGGGACACUGCCUCCGAUCAGCAAGUGACAGUAGGUUGCCAUGGAAACUCUGGAUCAAGACUGUUGGAGAUAGCUUGCUGACCAUUUCUAAGGUAAAUCCUCCUGCUGCUUGGGGGUCAAGAAAUGUAACAAGUGCUGAGAUCUCCUAACAUCAGCAGGAAGACAAAACUUCACUGACAUCCUCCAGACUAGUGAAAGUUUUUCUUGGUUUUAAUACAUAUGAAAUGGUAAAGAAAUCCUGAUACUUGAUUUAUAUGUUAAAUAGGUCAGGCCCAUAACACGUUCAGCGUUUUUGUCAUCUCAAACUAGAAAGAAAAGACUAUUGUGGUCUAAAUCGCAUGGAGAGCAUUUGUCCAUGGAGCUUAAGGUCAUCAGCUUGCAUUAAAUCCUCUCAUGUAUUCCAAUUUGGGGCCCAAAUCUGGGCCCAGUCACUAGAGAUCUUUUUCCAUUUUGGCAAACAAACACAAAUCUAACUCUGUUUCUUCCCUUUACGGUCUUUAUUUUUCCCACAGUGAUCCAAUGUUUAUUGGAACAGGCAGCCUGCUCCGUUCCUGUGCUGGAUUCAGAUUGCCUAAUGAUGCACAGGGGAUUCACCGCACACAUGUAAUCCAGUAUUACAGUUUUUUGUUGUUGUCAUCAUCACUGCAAACUGUUCACUCUCCUACAGCGAUGUCAGAGCUAUAUAAAGAAACUGCCUACAGUUUUUACACCCGCUGCCUCACAUUCAAGCGUCCACCAAGUGAACCAGAGGAGGGCCUUUACUGAGAAGCACAGGGACACAGACGUACUUGUCACUGUUUAUUGGAAUAUCUGCAAGAGUUCAUUAAGAAUGCAACUAUACUAGACAAAUAUGUUUUUGAAAGAAAAUAGAGUAACUCUUAGAAGAAAUGUUUAGCUUAGAGCAAGGGUGUCCAAAGUAUGGACCGGGGGCCAUUUGCUGCCCUCAGGGGGAUUUUGUGUGGGUACCCAAAUAGGGAUGGGCAAAUAUUGUACAGUUUAUGUUUAAUGGGAAUUUUCUAUUAAUCCUGAAAGGAAUUGUAAUUUAUUGUAAUAACAUUUAAUUCUAACUGAUGGGUAAAAAAAUUCAGUUUAUCCACUCUGCUCCACGAGACCAUCAAUACAUAUAAAUACAUUUCAAAGGGUGAUUAAGUGCAGGUAUUGCACGCUGUACUUAAAAUGCUGUACUGAAGUAGCCUAUUCAACUGGAAGGUUUGUGUGGUUCUGACUCUAAUGAGGUCUAUUGCCUAAAAAUGUUUCAAAAACAUUUAAUUGUCGAUUUUAUCAUUAUAAAUCCUACAAACAAAAA
Girardinichthys multiradiatus is the source of this 2932-nucleotide long non-coding RNA. RefSeq lists it as uncharacterized. The record is from RefSeq and is a predicted model, not a curated record. The transcript is spliced from 2 exons. NCBI's taxonomy places the organism in Eukaryota, Metazoa, Chordata, Actinopteri, Cyprinodontiformes, Goodeidae.